This is a long non-coding RNA of Ornithorhynchus anatinus (platypus), 672 nucleotides long. RefSeq lists it as uncharacterized. The transcript has 2 exons. Lineage: Eukaryota; Metazoa; Chordata; Mammalia; Monotremata; Ornithorhynchidae. The record is from RefSeq and is a predicted model, not a curated record.
GCUGAUUUUUUGCUGGAUGACCUCUUCCACAAUGCUGACUUCAGCUGCUUUGGUGUCAUCCAUCUUCCUCCAAUGCCUAGCCCAGCAGGACCGAGGCGCAGUAAGGAUGGCUUCAAUGCUGGGACGCUGGCUGUAUUCCAGCAUCUCAUUAUUGGUGAUCUUGCCUUGUGAAGAAAGUAACUUUAUGGCUGCCUGGUGCAGAAGGGAGUGUUGACCACAUCGCCAUUCGUGGAUAAGAUAUCGCCAUCAGUAGCCUCAUCUCUGAAAAUGAAGAGGUGGAUUUGAUAUCUGGUGGGGAGGAACGUCCAGGAAGGUCUCCGUGCCAUUGAAGAAUGCUUCACCACAGCUCUUGAAGAUCUUUUCUCUCUCUCACAAGCCUGAGGAUGCCUGCUUCUACACUGUUGAUUAGCCUCUCGAAGAAUGAAACUCCUUCUUGACCCAGUUUUUGGUACGAUGAUGAAUCAUCAAGAGUCAAGCAAUUAAUGGAUUAAGCGUCACCCCAUCCAGUUAUCAAAAGUUAAAUCAACAUCACUCCGAGUCAGUUAAAGCAGUCAUCAAACAUUCUUGAACUUUAGACCCAAGACCUAACUAUAGCCUUCCUUAACCCUCACCCCUGCCCUCACCUAGUCUUUGGGGAUUGAUUUUGUUAAUGAUUAAACUUCAAUUUUUUGA